Molecule: ribosomal RNA, 631 nt
Filed under: Auricularia heimuer
Lineage: Eukaryota; Fungi; Basidiomycota; Agaricomycetes; Auriculariales; Auriculariaceae
Description: eukaryotic LSU rRNA
Rfam family: 5.8S ribosomal RNA (bases 184-337)
Source: RNAcentral
CAAGAUAGCGACUGCGGAGGAUCAUUAAGAUUCUAAGGCUUCGGUCUUAAUUUCGGCUGUGCGCUCAGGCUGCACGCCGAUAACCUCUCACACCUGUGCACCUUUUCGGUUGCGGCUUCGGCCGCUUCCGCUUUUACAUGCAACCACGAAAAGUCUAGAAUGUGACGAAAACUAUAAAGUAACAACUUUCAACAACGGAUCUCUUGGCUCUCGCAUCGAUGAAGAACGCAGCGAAAUGCGAUAAGUAAUGUGAAUUGCAGAAUUCAGUGAAUCAUCGAAUCUUUGAACGCACCUUGCGCUCCUUGGUAUUCCAUGGAGCAUGCCUGUUUGAGUGUCACGUAAACCCUCACCCCUGCGAUGUAACAGUCGCCUGCGGUGGACUUGGACCGUGCCGGUAAUCGGCUCGUCUUGAAAUGCAUUAGCUGGUGCUUUUAGAGUGCUGGGCGAACGGUGUGAUAAUUAUCUGCGCCGACUGCCCUGGGCCUCUUCAGCGGCGCUGCUUACAGCCGUCCCUUGUGGACAACUAUUUUAAAGCUUUGGCCUCAAAUCAGGUAGGACUACCCGCUGAACUUAAGCAUAUCAAUAAGCCGGAGGAAAAAGAUCCCUACGCAACCUUGUUACGAUUAUUCAC